Long non-coding RNA from Cavia porcellus (domestic guinea pig), 3448 nucleotides. RefSeq lists it as uncharacterized. The record is from RefSeq and is a predicted model, not a curated record. Lineage: Eukaryota; Metazoa; Chordata; Mammalia; Rodentia; Caviidae. The transcript has 2 exons.
CUCACCUUCUUGCCUUCCAGCCCCCGUGCCCUUGGAGGCUCCCGGACUCUCAACAGGGUGGGAGGAGACAACUUGGGCUGUGGAUCUGGCCUUCACAGGGCUAGUGAGCUGGCGCCUGCCAAAAGAGGCAGGCAGGAGAGUAAGGUUUCCAGGACCAGCAGCUCCUGCAGACUGCGUGGGGUUCCUGUGGGAGCAGGGGAUGUUCGCUGGCAGCCACCUUCAAAGUAAGUCAAGUGUUUCUAAACUGGGGCCGCCUGUCCACAGCAGCAGACAGCCAUGACAUAAACCAGCAGGAGCGCAGGAAAACAGACAAGAACAGAGCACAAGAGACUAGAAGUAUGCUCCCUUCAUCAAGAUUUCAAUCUAUUCAUAGUUCAGAAGACUUUUGUAAGAGAGAACACUUUUCAAGAAAUGUCACAAAAAGCCAAAACAGUCUCUGACUCUAAGCUGGAUUACAGCAAUAUCAACUGAUAACAUUUUGGAAAAAAAGUUUUUAGAACCAUCAAAUAAAGAAAUCAGAAAUAAAGUUCUUCUAGUUAAUAAUGACUACAGCAAAACCAGUAACAUUCAGUCACAACUUGGGAUGUUCAAUCACGUUUCUUCACAUUAUAAUCAUUAUAGUCAAUACCAUUUCCUGACUGUAAAAGAAUUUUUAAACUGUUACUAUGGUUUUUUUGAUAGAGGAGUGUACAGUAUUUCAUAACCUUUAUUCCCAAAAAAUAGCAUAAAUUUUCAGAGUCUGUGCUAUGCUAUGAUAUUGAAUAUAUGCUCCAACUUCUAUAUGGUGGAAAGAAUUUCCAAUGCACUGAGAGGUGUGGUUCCACAGCUGAUUAGAGGGCUGUGUUCUCAUGAAUGGGAUAUGGUACUUAUCAUGACAGUGAAUUCCUUGUCCCAAAUGUGGGCUUACUAUGAAGCAAAUUUGACCUCUCUUGCACUCUUCCCCUUGUCCUUUUCUCCAUGGGAUGAUGCAGCAUGAAAGCCCUCAUCAAGUCUCAGUGUUAUGCCCCUGGAUAUCCCAGUCACUAGAACCAUGACAAAUAACUUUUAUUAUUCAUAAAUUACUCAGCCUCAAGUAUUCUAUUAUAGUAACAUGAGGUGGACAAAGGCAAAAAAACUGCUAUUGAGAAGUUUUACAUGCUUUCAUAACAGAAGAGUGUUGUGGGUGGAUGAUGAUGAUAGUGGUGGUGGUGGGGGUCACUCUGAUGUUGCCCAUGUGAGCCAAAGUUCCUGUGGCAGUGAAAUGUAGCACAAAUUGACCGAUACAGAUAACGGGAAUGCAGACCUCCUUGAUUCAGAUGAUGAAGAAAGCAACACAGUGAAUACAUAUUUGAUAGUCAAAACGUUGCAAAAUGGCCACAGGACCAAGUGGAACAAUCCAAUGUUAGAACUAUAGAACUAAGUCAGAAAAUAUAGUGACAGUCUGAAUACGGGUAAAACGUACUGGACAGAAUGCCAGGACUGCCAUUCAAUGUUGGAAACUGUAACAGGCAAAAUGCUAUAAGAUGCUAUGAAAUACACAAAGAUGAAAUGCAUGUAAAUCAUUUUCCAUGCACCAAUAGCCACAUUUAAAAAUGUAUUGUGACACCUCACUAGCUGAUCUGAAUGCAUUUCUAGGGCUACUGUACUUAGCACAGGUUUUUCAUGGUGAUCACAGGAUUUAUAGAAAAACAAUGGGUCAAAAUAUGGUAUGAAAAUGUAUGCCCUUGGAGACACAAUGGCACACCUGUGCUUUCAGUUUAGGCAUUUAUCCUGGAACUCAGCCAUCAGGUCUUUCUUUGUUUGGAAUAAACUGAAUGAUGUUGUGAACAGACUUGUUGCUCCCAUCUCCCAAACGAACCAGAAUGUGACAUUUGACAAUUGUUUUACAGGUUUCCAAUUGGUGUUACAUUUGCUAACAAACCACAAUUGCUAACAAAUUGACCACUGCAGGGACUGACACAGGAACAAAGCAGAAAUUCCAAAUGAAAUGCUGCAAUGUCAAAACAGAGAACUGUAUACUUCCAUCUCUGAAUUUCAGAAAGAUAUGACACUGGCCUAGUACAUAGCAAAGAAAAGCAAACCGGUACUGCUGACGUCAGCAUUUCACCAGGAGGAAAACACAGAGAAACCUUCAGAAAACAGAAGUCUGAAAUGGAAACUUUCAAUGACAAAAUCAAAUACGGAGUAGAUGUUGUUGAGUUAUGCUGCAAAUAGGAUAUCAUUUGAAACACAGAACACUGGCCAGUGGUGUGUUUUAUUUGACCCUAAACAUGGGUGGAAUAAAUAGUUUAUUUUAAAUAUCAUGGAGAAAUAUUCUUAGAGGAUUGGAAUCAGAGCUCUUAAGAGAUCUUACGAGAUCACUUACAGCAGAGCAAAAUGUUUCUACCCAGAGACCUACAGUAAAGAAUGGAGGCGCACACUGGUGAGCUGACAGAGGUGGACAGGUAGGCACCGCAUCACGGAGACCUAUUAGACAACAGGAAAACAAAAAAGAUCUCAACUGCGCUCUACAAUACAGUACAGGAAAACAAAAAUACGACUCUCAGUGUAAGUGACACUUGUGUAUGGCACAUGCAGUUCUCAUUUGUGACGACUGCCUUGAGUGUACAGUUGAAGCAAUGCUUAUUUCUGCGGUAGACUUUUAUUUGUGUUUAUAUUGCAGUUUACAGGGACUUACUUUUGAUGUUACCUCUAAGGUUUUGUAAGCAAGCAAAGAGCUACUGUGAAAAUGCUAAUGUCUAUUUUAAGCACUCAUUACACAUGUGAUAUUUUAUUUUAUUGCCAUCUUAUUUCGCUACUAAGUGCAUGUUAAACAUUAUAGUAGGAAGCUAUCAACAAGGCAGGACAAGACUGCCACACAGAAAAGGCAAGCUAGGCACAAGUGCUAUCACUGCAAGCAAGAUGUGUGCAUGGAACAUGCAGAUGACAGGCGUGAAGACUUCCUGGGGGUGUGGAAGGUGAAGCAAGCUUAUUUCUGUGGUACAGUUCUAUUAGUAUUUUCAUUGUAGUUCAUAUAGGCAUUUAUUUGUUAUCUUUUAGGCUUUCUAUGGAAGUACACAGCUGAUGUGAAAAUGUUGAUGCCUAUUUUGAAUGCACAAUACAUAUUGAAAAUAAUUUAUUUUAUUGACAUUUAAUUUUCCUGUCAACUAUACACAGCACAAUAGGAACUUCCUGACAAAAUGGCAAGACCACCGAGACAUCAAGUAGAUCCUACAAAAAGACCAAGAAAGAAAAAGACCUGUGCUGUCAGUCUAAGUGAUGCAGGCAUAUGGAAUGUGCUGCUAUCAUGUGUGCAGAUGCUUUAGGUAUGACAAAUGAAGGAAAGUUUUUUUGUAGAGUGAUAUUGAUAUUUUCAUUGUAGCUCAUAUGAGAAUUUAUUUCUGCUCUUUUAGACUCUGUACACCAAAAACCAGCCAAUGUUCAAAAUUUUUGAUGCAUUUUUAUAAACAAUAAAUAUUAAAAAUCAAUA